UAACGCGUGAGGAACCUGCCUUCCAGAGGGGGACAGCAGUUGGAAACGACUGCUAAUACCGCAUGAUACGUUGGAGCCGCAUGACUCCGACGUCAAAGAUUUAUCGCUGGAAGAUGGCCUCGCGUCUGAUUAGCUGGUUGGCGGGGUAACGGCCCACCAAGGCGACGAUCAGUAGCCGGACUGAGAGGUUGGCCGGCCACAUUGGGACUGAGACACGGCCCAGACUCCUACGGGAGGCAGCAG
This 243-nucleotide ribosomal RNA is filed under the name uncultured bacterium. RNAcentral's name for it is "partial 16S ribosomal RNA". It matches the Rfam family "Bacterial small subunit ribosomal RNA", at positions 111 to 354 of the family's 1533-position model. The record is from RNAcentral.